AUACGUAGGGGGCGAGCGUUGUCCGGAAUGAUUGGGCGUAAAGGGCGCGUAGGCGGCCCGGUAAGUCUGGAGUGAAAGUCCUGUUUUUAAGAUGGGAAUUGCUUUGGAUACUGUCGGGCUUGAGUGCAGGAGAGGUAAGUGGAAUUCCCAGUGUAGCGGUGAAAUGCGUAGAGAUUGGGAGGAACGCCAGUGGCGAAGGCGACUUACUGGACUGUAACUGACGCUGAGGCGCGAAAGUGUGGGGAGCAAACAGGAUUAGAUACCCUGGUAGUCCACACUGUAAACGAUGAAUGCUAGGUGUAGGGGGUAUCGACCCCUUCUGUGCCGCAGUCAACACAAUAAGCAUUCCGCCUGGGGAGUACGGCCGCAAGGUUGAAACUCAAAUGAAUUGGCGGGG
This 397-nucleotide ribosomal RNA is filed under the name uncultured bacterium. RNAcentral's name for it is "partial 16S ribosomal RNA". It matches the Rfam family "Bacterial small subunit ribosomal RNA", at positions 523 to 918 of the family's 1533-position model. The record is from RNAcentral.